Molecule: long non-coding RNA, 1078 nt
Filed under: Eucalyptus grandis
Lineage: Eukaryota; Viridiplantae; Streptophyta; Magnoliopsida; Myrtales; Myrtaceae
Description: long non-coding RNA (EGRA_LNC001424)
Source: RNAcentral
GGCCAUGGACCUCGGACUAGCCGGCUGCCACCCUUGAACACCACCGCUCCGGAGGCCGAGCUCCAAAUCUAGCCGAGUCGUGGCCUCCGCGCCGCACCAGAUCUAGUCCACCUUCACUUGCUUCAAGCUCGUCCAUGGCCGCCUCCGAAUCCGGUCGAGCUCGACUCUACGCCAGAUAUCGUCUGCCUUAAAAACGGUUCGAGCUCGGCGGCUCCUCCAUGACCGCCGAGAAGCCGCCGAGAUUUCGGUCACAACGUCGAGCUUCGCAGCCAUAGAAGGCCAUCACCUCCAGAUGUAGAGGCUCAAUGGCAAUGGAGGCCGAGCGUCCAGAUCUGGCCGUGGCGAAGGUCGUGACAUCACCUCGAGCUGCAGCAAUGACCGCCGUUAGAGGUCGCCUUAAGAGACGGCGUUAAAAGUUGCAGACGGCCAUGGACAGAGCGUGUAACAAGAAAGGAGACAAAAAAAAAAAUAGAAAAGAAAAGAAGCAAAGAAUGGUGGGGAACAAUAAGAAAAAGAAACAUCUUUUCCAACUUUUCAACAGCAUCAUCGGCAUGAGCCACGCCGACGACCAUGGACGGCCAGAUCUCGAGAGCCAACGGUGUCGCUGGCCAUGGCGGAGCAAGGUUCGUGUGUGAUGCCGACGGCCAUGGACGGCCAAAUUUGGAGAGCCAGCGGCGUCACUCGUCUAGGUGACGCCCAUGGCCAUGGUCGGCCAGAUCUGAAGAGCCAGCAGCGUCACCGACGCAUCAUCGGCCGUGGCAGCUCGUCCGAGGUCAAGUGGCUGGCUUUGGACGAACGAGGAAGAUGAAGCUAGAGGAAACAGUUCCACCACUCAAAGAAACUCCACAUCAAUAUUUUUUAAUUUAAUUCAAGACACGUAAUAAACUUUUUUAAGUGGAUAUCAAGGAAAAAAUGCUCGCCCCAUCAGCUGACGCGGGGCUGUGAAAUCACUUAAUAUUUUCCCCUUUCCUCACACAUCUACACACAUGGCACAUAAACUAGAAAACCAUCGGGCAGCAAUGGUAGGGAUGGUAAGUGGUAUCAUUACUGCAUUAGGUCGUUAAAUUUUUAUAAGGAG